Molecule: small nuclear RNA, 107 nt
Organism: Mirounga angustirostris (Northern elephant seal)
Lineage: Eukaryota; Metazoa; Chordata; Mammalia; Carnivora; Phocidae
Source: RefSeq, a predicted model, not a curated record
GCGCCCUCGCUUGGGCAGCGCACACCCUAAAAUUGGAACGACACAGAGGAGACUAGCAUGGCCUUGCACAAGAUGACAUGCAAGUUGAUGAAAUUUUCCAUCUUUAA